UUGUGUAAAAAACAUAAUAUUUUAUUUAUCAUACUGGAAUGUCUAAAACUCUAUACGAUCACAAUGGUUCUUACAUUCCAUCUACAGCACAGAAAAACAGACAAAUACACGUUGAUGAUAAAACAUGCCCUAGGAAGAUUGUCCCUCUCAUUGGUGAGGUAAAUCCUGGCCUAGUAAGAUUGUCCCUCUCAAUGGCGAGGUAAAACCUGAUCAAGAAAGAUUGUCCCUCUCAAUGGUGAGGUAAAACCUGGCCUAGGAAGAUUGUCCCUCUCAUUGGUGAGGUAAAUCUGGCCUAGGAAGAUUGUCCCUCUCAUUGGUGAGGUAAAUCCUGGCCUAGUAAGAUUGCCUCUCUCAUUGGUGAGGUAAAUCCUGGCCUAGUAAGAUUGUCCCUCUCAAUGGCGAGGUAAAUCUUGACCUAGGAAGAUUGUCCCUCUCAAUGGUGAGGUAAAACCUGGCCUAGGAAGAUUGUCCCUCUCAAUGGCGAGGUAAAUCCUGGCCUAGGAAGAUUGUCCCUCUCAUUAGUGAGGUAAAACCUGAUCAAGAAAGAUUGCCUCUCAUUGGUGAGGUAAAUCUUGACCUAGGAAGAUUGCCUCUCUCAUUGGCGAGGUAAAUCUUGACCUAAGAAGAUUGUCCCUCUCAUUGGUGAGGUAAAUCCUGGCCUUGGAAGAUUGCCUCUCUCAAUGGUGAGGUAAAUCUUGACCUAGGAAGAUUGCCUCUCUCAAUGGUGAGGUAAAUCUGGCCUAGGAAGAUUGUUCCUCUCAUUGGUGAGGUAAAACUUGGCCUAGGAAGAUUGCCUCUCUCAUUGGUGAGGUAAACUUGGCCUAGGAAGAUUGUCCCUCUCAUUGGGUCAGUAGCAAGGUUAAGCUAGGCCCACGAAGAUUGUUACCUCUCCAUGGUGAAAUGAACUCCAUUGAAGGCAGGAUUAGCAAUUCUUCAAUGAUUAUGAAGUUAGUAUUUCACUCCACAAUGAGACAAACCUCUCCAGUGCAGUUGGUAAAAUCCUAAUCAGGUAGGCUCAGUGUUUUUUCACAAGAUAGUGAGAUAAUCACUUGGCCGAGUUGGUGUUUCUAACUAACACCAAAAUCAACUUGGCCCAUUAAGAUUGGAAAUUUCAACCAUACAGCCCUAUUAGUUUCCCACCAGAUGGCCAAGGUCUGCCAUAUAAAUAGCCAACAAUGUGCCAUCUAACAUGGCCUUCAGUUAUCACACAUUUGUUUACAAAUAAUUUGGUUUUAAAAGAGGGUGAAUAUCAACAUUGAGAUAGAAAAAAAAUUGUUAUAAUUUUCAACACUUUAAAAUAAUAAAAAAACUUAUCUAUAUUUUUCAACAUUGGGUAUGUUCAGUGUUUAAAAGCAAAACUUGCUGUUAAAAAUAACUGCACUUUGGUGCGUGACCUGCAAGCAUUUCUCUCUUCCUUGAUAACAAUAGGAUCAAUCAGAAUAACUGUUAUAGUAAGAAUACAAUCUAAACAUGUUAUAUCACAUUAAUAUUUGUGGAUAUGCAUUCUGUAACAACCUGGUAAAAGUGAGUAUACAGAACCAGGACUAUUUCAAUCCUUGUUCGUUAAAGGAUGAGAAGAAUCAGCUGUACAUGUAAGUUGUACUGUAACUUUAGUAUGUUAAAAGACAUAUCAUGAAAUGAAAUUUCUGUGAUAACAUUGAUAUACUUUAUUUUCGUACUUUUUUUGUGCAAUGCUGGGAUGUAUAAUAGCAUAUCAUUCUCUUAUUCACCAAAAAAUGUACUAGCGCAACUAUUAUUACCAGGUAUCCUAGCUCAACUGUUUGUAAAAAUUGAUUCGCAAAACUCCUUCAAGUUAUUAUAGAAUGAUGUGAAAUACAUAUCAAAUACUUGCAAAGUAAAACAUUUACUAUAUAAUUUUAUAAAUUUAUCGACGUAUCCCUCAGGUUAGAAGUAAAACAUUUAACAUAUAAUUUUAUAAAUUUAUCGACGUGUCCCUCAGGUAAGAAGUAAAACAUUUACCAUAUAAUUUUAUAAAUUUAUCGACGUGUCCCUCAGGUUAGGAGUUAAACCAUAACUUCUCAAAAACAUUCCGAUAUAUUUAAAUGAAAUGUGAUCAACAAUGACAGAAUGUGUCAAUCGAUUAAUAGGAGUCUUCCUUUGUUAAAUAGAAAUCUGUAUCUCUCUUAUGUAAGGCAAUCUUACUCUUGUUCUAAACAAAUACAUGCAUUAUUAUUGAUACAUUUUUUUUGUGCAAGUCUGUCAAGCACGCAGGAAGUCCAUUUAAUAUAUAACAUAUGGCUAAAAAUACUCAGGAUGUUUAUAUUAGCUCACAAUAUGACAGACAUUAUUAUAGAAACUCUGGUGGUAUCGUUGGAUUUUUACUGUUAAACACUAAGGUUUCCUUAUUAUUAUUUUCAGUGGCUGUACAAAUAUAGGAGUUACUUCCCUUGGAUCAUUUCUCUGGUUUAGGAGGAGGGCUAAUAUGGGCACAACCCAUGUUCAGUUCUCUUGGUUUAAUCACUAACAUUGUGCGAAACGAAAUGAAAUCCCAUUGUAUGUAUGAGAUAUGUGUUAAAUCAGAGCGGACACAUUGUAUCUGCAAUUUGUGUUAGAAAAAGUUCUCUCCCUCAGGGUAAAAGACAUUUCACAUUACAUCAGAGAUUCACAUAGUUGUCUCCCUUGGAGAAACCUACAACACAUUAUGCCCAUGAAUUGGUUAUGAAUUUUUGUGUUAAGCUCUGUUGGAGAGGCGAUACAUUGAUGGUUGUUAGAUGAAAGAUGUACCCUGUAUCCUAAACAAACAUACCUGUAGUUUCUCUUCAUCGUUAUAUUUCGUAUUGGUCAAACUCUUUGCUACAGUUUAUAUAACAAAUAUACUAUUAAUAUGGGCCAAGACUACAAACUGUCAUGUUUUGAGUUCACACCAGAAAAACUACAGAUAGAGCAUCAACAAUUGCAAGUGAAAUGUUACUUGAUAUAGAUAGACAUACCAUGAUAUGAUUAGAUACAUUUUUUUUAAGUAUUGCAAUUUGUUUGGAACACGGUUAUUGCACUGUUAUGUGAUGGAUUGACUUCACUAAAACCUACUAUAUGAAUGGCAUACUAAAGGAAACAUGGAUGCAAUGGUCAAACUCCAAACUGUCACUAUUGACCCCAUCCUUAAUCAUGGUAGAAUCAUUUUUAAGAAACUCUAUAUAUAUCAGAGGAAAGAGGUAGAACAAUUUGUAGUGUCAAAAUUUAAAGAGCAUUAAUUAUAUUAAAACAAUAGAUGACAGGCUGACUCAUUGAUCAAAGAAGAGAAGCUCAGCAAUGAUGCUUACAAGUUUAUAAAGAUGUGGUAUCUAUAACUAGGUAGCUUGGUAUCAAUACUGUAGUAAACUUGGCUCACUAACUCGGAAUCCGAGGCCCUGCUGUAAGAUUGGGAAUUAUCUUCACUUAUAGGUAAAUAUCUAAAUAAAUAAUUAUUAAAAUACUAAAUAUAUUACUUAUAAAAAAUCAUUUCCAAACGAACAACAUAUUAAAUAAGAGGCCCAUAGGGCCUGCAUCACUCACCUGAGUAUUUCAGUGAUUAUGGCAAAGCACUUUCAAGUUAUAUUACCAAUACUUUUCCUAUUUUGUGAUCUACCUCAAAUGCCCAUGUAUUGCCAUAAACAUUUUCCUACAACUUAUAUUUGCCUUUCUGAUUCCAAGGAAAGACUCCAGAUUCAAAGCAAAUUAAGCUGAAAAGCACCAACAUUAAUAAUCAUACUACCUUUAUUGGGCCUGCCUCUCCAGCCACAAGGGUGAAUGGACUUUUAAAAGUAAAUCCAUAGUAAGUUCAGAUUCUGCAGAUCAAAUUUAAUCAAAGUAACUUUAUCCAUACAGAAGUAGAAACAUUUCAAAGAAAUGCCUCUAUUCUUUUGGGCCUGACCCUCCACCUACAUUUAUAAACAGUGUGUCUCCUUCACCCAAUAAUACUCCUUACAAAAGAAUCCAUCAGGCCGUUCAGAAGAAGGAGGGGGUGCAUCUUUAUGAAAAUUGGUUCCCAAUCACCCAAGGAAUUAGCUACAGACCAAAUUUAGGCAAAAUCCACAUGGUUAAUCAUGACGUUACGUUUUUUUUUU
This is a long non-coding RNA of Pecten maximus, 4064 nucleotides long. RefSeq lists it as uncharacterized. The record is from RefSeq and is a predicted model, not a curated record. NCBI's taxonomy places the organism in Eukaryota, Metazoa, Mollusca, Bivalvia, Pectinida, Pectinidae. The transcript has 2 exons.